UGGCAUGUAAUCAAUGACAAAACGAUGCCAUGUGGCAGAAAAAAAAGUUGUAUUACGUUUACUGAGUAUAAUUCUCUGGAUCGUGCAACAAGGCAGGCCUGCUUGGUUCUUUCGGGAAAUGAUUGUGAAGAUUUACAAAGAAUAGGUUUACGUCAUUUACUCUCUGACUGGGACGUUUGGGGCCAAUUGGCGGGAAUUUGCUGUGGACAAAAUACAUACGGCGAUACACUGGUAAGAGCAAAUUACGUUUAACCAUGUAAUUGUAUUCCCCUGUAUUGUGUAACCAGUUAACUUCAUUUAAUAUUGUAUGUGGUGUAACAAGUUCCUUCCGGAGACCAUUUUGCAGAUCCCCCUUUUGUGCGACCAAAGAUUUGUUUGUACAAGUUUACAACACCAAACAUUUGCAUCUCCAAAACUUAACUGAACAAUAUUCUCUGGCAGAGUGUUUUCUAGUUAAACGUUUGCAUCUACCAUUUUUCUUGGACAUGAAUGCAGCAUCAUUCUAGGGUAACUCAAGCAGCGAAUGACGAGAUCAGCAAGGCUCAAAUCCCGCAGCAGCAUUUUAUCACUGGGGAGAUUUAACAGGAAUAUUGUGUCUCAGAAUGAAAUGAAAGAGCUAAAUCAGCUGGAGGUGUACAGUUCUAAAGGAACGGACCGAGGACCAGUCCAGCACCCAUACCAAAUAUCAAAUGGAGAAAACAAAACCGAGUUGAGACCAGCAGCAACUUUAUGUAGUUCUAGCCGUAGAGCAGGCCCCAGCAGAGAACCUGAGAACCUUCAAGACAAUUGUUGAGGUGGAGAUAAAGGCAACACUACAUUCAUUCUCUCCACACCUUCCACCUUGGCUCACCUCAGCCCCAUCCACCCAUGACCAAGUACCACCAAGUAGUCUUUUUUUUCUUCAUAGCUGAUUUUGUCUGGGAGGAAUGUUUCGAUGUACACGUUUCACUGCUGCGUGUUGGGAGGGAGCAUUGGGUAGCUGGUGCAAAAUGGAUAAACUGACAUCUGUUGGCCCCCAGCUCUCACAAGGCCACGUGUGUUCCCAUACAUCAGACAAGUACAUGAAUGAAGUUGUACAGAGUGAAUGUAGACUGUCCACUAUGUUAGUUAGUACUGUCUUCUCAUAUUUGUGCUCUGCAUUCAGCUCACUAAAUAUACCUUAGAAAACAGACUGCUCUGUGUUCAAAUCUCCUCAAAUGUGUCCAAGAAAAGAGAAAGUUGUAUUAUUUGGGACCUUCCCUUUCUGUUUUUAACCUUUUCAAUAAUCUUACUGCCACCUUGCACCGUUUUGUUCUUUUAAUCUUCUGGCUUAUCAGCCUGCAUUUCCUUUGUGCUUCCUCACUUAAUCCUCUGCCACUCUUUUAUUUAAAGACUUUUUAUGUCACUGUUUUCCCCCCUGAAGAGGUUGUUUUCUGUUGAGAUUGAAUCAAUCUAUUUGUUGACACCUGACAAUCAUCACCUUCGUAUAUCAUAAUGCAGACUGGUUUGGACUGAAGGAGGCUGGCUAGAUUAGACCUUUGCCAGAGUUGAGCCACUUUGAAUUUGAGCUGUGAGAACUCGCUGUCUCUUCGAAGCGAAGGGUUCCUCUCAGAAGUCAUAAUACAAUAUUUCUGUCCAGCACACCAUGUCACCUUUAGGUGGCACUAUAACAGCAUUCAGAGAGAUGGUGUCUUUCUGAAAGGAUAUUCUGCCAGUGUUUAUGAGAUUAAAGGAGAUGACAUUUGAUUUUUAACAGAAUGCACUUACCGCUUUUACAUGAAGUUUGCAUUAUAUGCCCUCCUUUUUUUAAGGUUUUUAAUUAUCCUGGAUUGCUCCCACUCAUUAGUUUCCAUGAUCUUAUAGCUUUGCCUGACAAGCUCUGUCCUGUUCUCACUUUUUAUUUUCAAGUUGGCCAUCUUCCAAACCAAUUUAAUAAUAUUUACUAUUUAAAAAAUAUUUGGUUGACUUCUCUGAGAAAUCUGGCCAUGGAAAGAAACAUUUGUGUACUGCCAGCUUUUGACACAGUCCAGUUUUAUCUGUAGUUAUGAUCAAAUCAAGCAUCUUUGUCACUCGCACUACACAUGGCAGGUGCUUAGCUAAGAGAAUCAUUAUCUGAUGAAUUGCGUUGCCAAUGAAGCCACCAAGAAGUAUUUUUUUUUAGUAGCCCUGCAUGAAGUCAUUCAUUUCCUUUCAUCCAGAAGUAAGGGAUGGCAAAAUGCCAGUGAAAAUUGUGUUAAUAUCAAAAUGUGCCAUUUUAUUAUAACACUAUAUUCUUUCAAGUCAAUUGAAAUUACCUUUUUAUUUUCUGUAGCAUGUAAUGUGUUAAUAUACUAGUAAAUAAAGUCAAACCCAUGACAAGUGA
Sander lucioperca (pikeperch) is the source of this 2341-nucleotide long non-coding RNA. RefSeq lists it as uncharacterized. Lineage: Eukaryota; Metazoa; Chordata; Actinopteri; Perciformes; Percidae. The transcript is spliced from 2 exons. The record is from RefSeq and is a predicted model, not a curated record.